GGCCUCAUAGUAUAACGGUUAGUACAACGGGUUUUCAUCCCGUCAAUCCGAGUUCGACUCUCGGUGAGGUCACCA
RNAcentral lists this transfer RNA (75 nucleotides) under Candidatus Saccharimonadota bacterium. Its description in RNAcentral is "tRNA-Glu". It matches the Rfam family "tRNA". From Rfam's summary of the family: Transfer RNA (tRNA) molecules are approximately 80 nucleotides in length. The record is from RNAcentral. Lineage: Bacteria; Candidatus Saccharimonadota.